UGAAGGGUUUUCGAGCAUGAACUGCCUUUUAAGGUCAUGCCACAGCAUCACAAUAUGAUUCAGGUCAGGACUUUGACUAGGCCACUCCAAAGUCUAUGUUUUGUUUUUCUUCAGCUAUUCAGAGGUGGACUUGCUGAUGUGCUUUGGAUCAUUGUCCUGUUGCAGAACCCAAGUUCGCUUCAGCUUGAGGUCAAGAACAUAUGGCCGGACAUUGUCCUUCAGGAUUAUUUGGUAGACAGCAGAAUUCAUGGUUCCAUUUAUCGCAGCAAGUCUUCCAGGUCCUGAAGCAGCAAAACAGGCCCAGACCAUCACAUUACUGUUGUUAUUAUGUUCUCUUUCUGAAAUGCAGUGUUAGUUUUAC
This is a long non-coding RNA of Sander lucioperca (pikeperch), 361 nucleotides long. RefSeq lists it as uncharacterized. Lineage: Eukaryota; Metazoa; Chordata; Actinopteri; Perciformes; Percidae. The record is from RefSeq and is a predicted model, not a curated record. The transcript has 3 exons.